Long non-coding RNA from Gorilla gorilla gorilla (western lowland gorilla), 15443 nucleotides. RefSeq lists it as uncharacterized. Lineage: Eukaryota; Metazoa; Chordata; Mammalia; Primates; Hominidae. The record is from RefSeq and is a predicted model, not a curated record. The transcript has 5 exons.
GGAGGCGGAAGCGGGUGGAUCGCUUGAGCUCAGGAAUUCCAGACUAGUUUGGGCAACAUGGUGGAACCCUGUCUCUACAAAAAUACAAAAAAUUAGCUGGGCACGGUGGCACGCACUUGUAGUCUCCGCUACUUGCCGGGCUUAGGCGAGAGGAUCGCUCGGCUGCAGCCUCGACCUCCUGGGGCAAUCCAUUUCAGCCUCUCAAAGUGCUGAGAUUACAGGAAUGAGCCAUCGUGCCUGGCUUUGCACUAUAUUUUAAUACUUUUUUUGAAAAUGGAAACUUUUACAGGCAAUUCACUUCCUUCAAACUAAUGAUAAGGAAGUGAUGCUGUUCUGUUCUGUUUUGUUGUUUUUGUGUUUUUUUUUUUUCUCUUUUGAGAUGGGGUCUUGCCCAGGUUGGAGUGAGGUGGUGCAAACAAGGCUCACUGCAGCCUUGACCUUCUGGCUCAAGGAAUCCUUCCCCAUCAGCCUCCCCGGUAGCUAGGACUACAGGUGCAUGCUACCACGCUUGGCUAAUUCUUUUUUUGAAAUGGAGUCUCACUCUGUCUCCCAGGCUGGAGUGCAGUGGUGCAAUCUCGGCUCACUGCAGGCUGGUCUCAACCUCUGACUUCGGAUGGUCCACCCACUUCUGCAUCCCAAAGUGCUGCGAUUACAAGUGUGACCCACCGCGCCUGGCGAUUUUGCUCAUUUUAGAUACUAGAACUUUUUAAUUAAAUUUUUUUUUUUUUCCUGAGAUGGAGUCUUUGUCUCCAGGCUGGAGUGUAGUGGUGUAAUCUCAGCUCACUGCAACCUCCGCCUCCUGAGUUCAAGCGAUUCUCCUGCCUCAGCCUGCCAGAGUUGCUGGGACUACAGGUGCGCACCACCACACCCAGGAGUUCAAGGCUGCAGUGAGCCAUGAUCGUACCACUGCACUCCAGCCUGGGCAACACAGCGAGACCCUGACUCCACAAAUAAAUAAAUCAACAUCAUAUGAUCUGUACCAGGGUAUAGGCAGGUGCUAUGAUCCCCACUUUUCAUCCUCAACUCUAAGUUGAGUCAUACAUCAACCUCUAGUAAAAAGUGGCAUGCUCUCAGUCAAAGGGGUAAGCCCAAACCACGUGGAGAGAAUCUUAUCUCUUUUGAGAGCUAAUAUAAAAAGAAUUCCUCCUAGGCAUAAAAAUAUUGUGACAUCAGUUACUUAGGCUAAACAUGCCUAUUAUGCUAAGUGAGUUAUUAACAAUAAAUACUUUAACUCUGUGCCAUGUUAAUUAUCAUAAUCUGAUUUAUAAUUUGUUUUAACCUUAGGUUAUAUAUACCUUGAAGCCAUUUAUAUUUUGGUAUACUUGUAAUAAUUACUAUACACUGGACUAUAUAUAUUGGACUAAACACGGAGAGUCAAAAAAGAGUAUGUGGUCAGAGUAGAAAUCAUGCCCUAGCUUCCUUCCUGUCUGCCUCCCACCUUGAGUAGAAGUGGUAGAAAAAGUAAUUACCUAAGAUUUUUUGGAUUCUGGUUUGUGGAGAAGCACCCUUAUAUUUAGGCUGAUGGGCGGUGAAAUUAGAAAGUAUUUUUUGUGAUUUAGAAUUUUAUACGGAGAUGUUCAUUGUGAUUAAUUAUUCUUUGUAUUAGCAGAUUUUUGCUUUUUAUAGCUGCAUGAUUUCUUGUUUAUUAUUCAUUCAUUAUUGUCUAUUAAUAAAGAAAAACUUUAUUUCACUGAAGCAGUGAUAUAUAAUCCAACUUGGAUUUUUAAAUAAUGACUGACUUUUUUCUUUGGGAAUACAUUACUGUUAAAAAUGUAAUUAUUAGAUACAUUACUUUUAAUGAAUAUAAGUGGUAUAAUUAGAAGGCUGAAAAGAAUCCUUGGAAACGUGAGUUUAAUUUGAUAGCUAAGAAACUGAGGACAAGAUACUUAUUCUUUGUAGCGUAUUUUCUAAUGUCAUUUCAUUGUCUCACCAAGAAAUACUUGCAUAAAGCAAGUUCAAUUACAGCAUCUGUUGAAUAUUUAAGGUUGGGUAAAGUGGGUGAGUUUAACAGAUAUUUUCCCUUAUUUCUUUUAGGCGAAUCUGGAUUGGGAAAGUUGACAUUAAUCAACUCAUUAUUCCUCCCAGAUUUGUAUUCUCCAGAGUAUCCGGGUCCUUCUCAGAGAAUUAAAAAGCCCGUACAGGUCUAGAUAUUGGUAUUUUUAAUUGAUGAUAAGCUGGAAUAAUAUUAAUACACACAAAGCACGUGUUGUAACUUUUAUUAUGCUUCCUUAGAGGAGUUUGAAAAAUCACAUUUGAGAAGAGGAUUGGAUCCUAGCCAUAACAUAAAUAUAAGGGUGGAACCAAAGUUUUAAUCAAAGAAGGUGGUGUUCAGUUGCUGCUUACAAUAGUUGAUACCCCAGGAUUUGGAGAUGCAGUGGAUAAUAGUAAUUGCUGGCAGCCUGUUAUCAAUUACAUUGAUAGUAAAUUUGAGGACUACCUAAAUGCAGAAUCGCGAGUGAACAGAUGUCAGAUGCCUGGUAACAGGGUGCAGUGUUGUUUAUACUUCAUUGCUCCUUCAGGACAUGGACCAUUACAUAACUGAAGACUCCCACCUUCAGGCAGAAUUGGGUAGUACGUGUUUGUAACCACCUGGCAUUGCCUUUUGUUGAGGUAAUUUCAGUUUUUAUUAUUAUUAGUAGUAGUAGUAUACUUUAAGUUCUACGGUAUAUGUUCACAAUGUGCAGGUUUGUUACAUAUGUAUACAUGUGCCAUGUUUGUUUGCUGCACCCAUUAACUGGUCAUUUACAUUAGGUAUUUCUCCUAAUACUAUCCCUCCUCCAUCCCCCACCCCAUGACAGGCCCUAGUGUAUGAUAUUUCCCGCCCUGUGUCCAAGUGUUCUCAUUGUUCAAUUCCCACCUAUGAGUGAGAAACACCUAUGCGGUGUUUGGGUUUCUGUCCUUGCGAUAGUUUGCUCAGAAUGAUGGUUUUCAGCUUCAUCCAUGUCCCUGCAAAGGACAUGAACUCAUCCUUUUUUAUGGCUGCAUAGUAUUCCAUGGUGUAUAUGUGCCACAUUUUCUUAAUCCAGUCUAUCAUUUUAUGGUGUUCUCAGUUUACAUAUUUAAAUCACUAAACUGACUAUUUGACUUAAAAGGCUCAAAAAAAGUCAUCUCAAAAAUACAACACACUGCAUAACCUUUUAUAAGUAUUUGUGUAGCUUCUUGAAUUUAUAUUUUUAAAUCAUUCUCAUUUAACUUGUCAGGGCCUUUUCCUGAAAGCCAGCAGAGUGAAAUCUUAACCUGCAGUUAAGCCAAUAAAAUUUGUCAGCUUAUAACCAAUUUUAUUAUUUUAGAUUUUCUGGACUCUCUCCAACUAUAGUAAUUCUCAUGAAAUCACAUUCCUGCCAUCCCCUUGGGGAAAAUUUUAUUUCUUAAAAUUGCAUGGGAAAUGAGAGCUUUUUUAAAAGAAAAAAAUUUUUAUAUUCAAAUGAUAUGUAGUGGCUUUGUGCCAUUUCUUAUUUGUCACAAGGGGUAAGAUGUUUAAAAUUGCUAUAUCUUACAUAUAAAAAUGUACCUUUGAAUAAUUUCUCAGUUUAACUAUUUUUAGAAAUGGAGCAAAGUUUUGCCCAUUGGUACAUGAUAUUGUGGAUUAAGUGAAAGAAUAUGAGGCUGGGCGCGGUGGCUCACGCCUGUAAUCCCAGCACUUUGAGAGGCUGAGGCAGGCGGAUCACCUGAGGUCGAGAGUUCAAGACCAGCCUGACCAACAUGGAGCAACCCCGUGUCUACUAAAAAUACAAAAUUAGCUGGCCAUGGUGGCGCAUGCCUGUAAUCCCAGCUAAUAGGGAGGCUGAGUCAGGACAGUUGCUUGAACCUGGGAGGUGGAGGUUGCGGUGAGCUGAGAUCACACCAUUGCACUCCAGCCUGGGCAACAAGAGUGAAACUCCAUCUCAAAAAAAAAGAAUAUGACACAGAAUUUUAUGUAUAGAGUUCCAGGUACCCUGCUUACUACAGACUGAAAUUCUAUGCAGUCUAACACAUGAAUCAGAGCCUUUCCAUCUUGUCUGGGUAGUCCCUAGAUUCACUUUUUAGAGGGUUUUGUUUUUAGAGUGAUUAUAAAUUCGUCCAACAGUGCACUUUCAGUGCCUUCUACCUCCCUCUACCAAGUAUGAACUGCAUGCAUGGCUGAUUUAUGAUUUCGGCUAUUAUCGCUUCCUGUGCGUUGUUCACUAUUUUGUAACUGUUAUUAAAGUAAAAUACUGACUUGGAACAUGAAUUUUAAAAUGGUGUUUUAUCCUUCUAGUAUUGAUUCCCAGUUUUAGAAAAAUUGGUGUCAUCCAGUGAGUUUUAUACAGAAGGAUUUUUUCCCUUAGAAAUAUAUACAUACAUACAAAAAAAAUUUGUCAUUUUCCCUGUAGUUGUUUAUUAUGCUGUAGAAUUUGAGGCUAAAUAGUCUUUUCUCUCUACUGUGGGUUUAUCUUCUAGAAAUGAUAAAGGAUUUUCUAUUGCUAAAAAACAAGAUUUAAAAACUAAAUUUGUUGAUGAAAAGACUAGCCAAUAUAAAUCUAAAUGGACAGAGGGAAAAAAUUCAACCGGAAUGUAAUACACGUGAACUAAAUGUUUUCUGUUGCUGACGUUUUGUAGGCUUCUGAAAUUUAAUGAGACUUUUACAAGGUUUACCUUUUUUCCUAAAGUUUAAUUUUCAAACUGACUUAAAUGUUUUUUGACCCUUUGGUUAUAUUUAAGAAGUUGACUUCUUUAAUUUCCUUGUCAUGUUUAUUUUUAAAUAUCUUUCUCUUUAAAAGUUGGGAUACUAUAAUAAAUAUUCAGCAAGUAUUUUGCAUUUAAAUAUAAAAUCUUGUUAUUUGGAUUUUAAUACUUUAUAUUAAAUGCCUUUAAGAUUUAUUAAAAUUUUAGAUUAACUGAACUCUGCUUUUUUGUCACUGGAUUAAUAAGCAGGCUUGUAUCUGACAUAAUAGCUUAAUAAGGCAGUGACAAUUUAAAUUUGUCAUGAGUAUAAAUUGAAAAAUCAUAAUUUAGAAAUCGGAGAUUGAAUAUUUCAUGGCAUUUAUAUUUAGUGUUUUAUAUAAUGAUUAAUGAAAAGAAGCAAAACUUAAAUUUUUUUUCAAAGAUGGAUAGGUUCAGGCCAGAUGCAGUGGCUUACUCCUCUAAUCCCAGCACUUUGGGGACCAAGGCAGAAGGAUUGCUUGAGGCCAUAGACUAGGCAACAUAGUGAGAUCCUGUCUCUACAAAAAAUUAAAAAAUUAAUUGGGGCUGGGCGCAGUGGCUCACGCCUGUAAUCCUAACACUUUGGGAGGCUGAGGCAGGUGGAUCACCUGAAGUCAGGAGUUCAAGACCAGCCUGGCCAACAUGGUAAAACCUCAUCUGUACUAAAAAUACAAAAAUUAGCCGGGCGUGGUGGUGGAUGCCUGUAAUCCCAGCUACUCGGGAGGCUGAGACAGGAGAAUCACUUGAACCCGGGAGGCGGAGGUUGCAGUGAGCCAAGAUUGUGCCACUGAACUGCAGACUGGGCAAUAAGAGCGAAACUCAAAAAAAAAAAAAAAAUUAGUUGGGCAUGGGGGUGCACUCCUGUAGUCCUAGCUACUCAGGAGUCGAAGUGGAAGAAUUGGAGGCUGUGGUGAGCUAUGACUACGCCACUUCCUCAAAUAUAAGGAAGAAUAUAAUCUGACUAAAGGAUUGUCUUUAAAUUUAAAAAACUUAGCCUUAUGAAAACUUAUUACAUUGUCCUCAUUUUGACAUAGAUCAGUAAAAAGUUCAUUGAAGCCUGACAUUUGCAGUCCACUGGACCAGAUGACCUUUAGUGUUCUUUCUAAGAUUCAAUUGCUAUGAAUUUGGAACCUUGCUACAGGAUACCCAGUAUUCAUUUGUUUGUCUGUUAUAGUGCAUUGGAGUGUAUUCUUAUUUUUGUUUAAUUAAAUGUACAUUGGGCAUCUCUCAUAUCACAGGUGAAUCUCCCCAGUGAUAGACAAAGACAUUUAAAAUAUUUAGGAGUAAUAAUGGCCCACAAACAAGGUAAUGGUGAAAGAAGACAUGUGGAUCAAUGUGUGUUGAAGGAAGUGUUACAUAUAGGGACAACUUUGAGGUACAUUUGGGGACUUGAGAAGUGAAUUCUGGAAAUAGGUAGCAUUUAUGUAGUAGUUUAAAAAAUAUAUGAUGCUGGGAAAUCACUCCACCUACUCCCUGCAAAAUGCCCCAAACCUUUUGUUUCUGAUGUACAUGGUAGGCAUUCAGUAAGUUUAGUAAAUAUCCUUUUCUGAAGGUGACUGUAAGUUUACUCAUCUGUGGCUGUUACGGAUUUACACUAGUAGUGCUUAUGAAGACCACUGAACUUCUUUCUUAAGAUCAGGCAGAAGGUUUUUUCAAGGUGAUCCAGAGAAGGAAAUUCACUUUAUGUUGCAUUUCUGUAGUGUUCUACCAAAUCCAAAUGCAUUUACUCUUUAUGAUGAGGUAGUUUGAGUUUUUAAUUUAUAUUUAUUGAGUGCCUACUAUGGCCAGAUUUUGGGGAUAUCUCAGAAAACAAAGUUCCUUUUCCUAUGAUUGAAACUAAUAGCAAACAAAUAUGUAAUAUUGUUAGUAGUAUUACAGUAAACAAAAAUGAAGCAGGAUAAAAGGGUAGAGAAUAAUAAGAAUAAUAGUUCAGAUAGGGUCAGGGUGUCUUUGACGAGGUGAUAUUUUAGCACAAUCCAGAGGGGGAAUAGCAUUCCAGCUAGAGAGGAUAGUAAGCACAAAGGCAUUCUUAAAUUCUUCUCAUGAUGAGAUAAUUGCUGCAGUGAGUGGGUCCGUAACUUUUUGUGUGUUACGCACUGUACUUUCUUACAUUUUGGACUAUUGGCAUUUGCUAAAAUAUUCCUUUGACCAGUUCCAUUCUCUGAUUUUACCUUGAAAAACAAGCCCCUGCUUUUUAUGAUAGCUCUUUUUCUUGUUUUCCUUCUCUGAUUUUUAGGUUGCUAAAUGUGAUUUGCAUACUUUAUCACUUAAUCUCACUUAGUCUUGUCAACAACCUUAUAGUGGUAGGUGUCUUAUUUAUCAGAUGAAGAAGUAGAGUUUAAGUUACUUUCUCAAGCUUAUCAAGUAUUAGAAAAACUGGGAUUCUAAUCUCUCUGUUUUAUCACUUUUUUCUGUCUUGCAUGACUUCUCUUCUAUCACUGUUUGUGGGCAGUAUUUCCUCACGGAAGUAGGCCUUGGCCAGUUCUUUUCAAUCAACUGUUAAUCUCUGAGCUCUAGCUCCAUCUGUAUCUUAAGUCUGGGCUCUAGGUCUGUGCUUUGGUGUGGAAUUUUGAACUUCUCACAUCUCUACUCUUAGCUCAUGCCUCUAAACCCAAUAUAUCCAAAACUGAUGUUUGUUCACAAACUGACUUCAUUUUAUAACAAUUCCACUUAUUCAAUGGGAUAACCAUUCUUCUGGUCCCUGAUAACCAAAACAUUGGAAUAGUCUUUGAUUUCUCUCUCUUUCUUCAUCCUCCACAUCUUAUCAGUCCCCAGGAACUGUGGUCUUGGUUUCAAGUGUCCAUUCUGGUUGCUACUAUUCUGAUGAAUGGAUUUCAUCACUUGAUACCUGAACUUUUUCACUGGUCUUCUACUGAGCUCUAUGUAUUCUCUCCUCAUCCUUCAGUCCCCACACUGUUUUAACCCUCCAACAUCUUAGAGUCAUGUGAAGUGACUUAUCAAAACCAGAGACUCAGGCAGUCACAGCCCUUCAUCAUUUUAUCUUAUCCUAUAUAUCCAAGAUCAUCAUGUGCUUUUAAAACUCUCCCUUGUCCACAAGCCAGGAUUCUCCAGCCUUUUCCUAUGCUUCUCUUCUUCUCUCCCCUGUUACAACAACUUGAAGUUCCUCCAAGGCCCCAUUGGAGCCCCAUCUCCUUCACCAAGUCUUUCCUCUUUACUCCAACUCAUUCCAGCUCAUCGUUGCAUUCCUAUGGUGUUUGCCACUGCACCUAUGUACUGACUUGUGCCAUUCCUUAGUGGUUUCCCACGUACCUUCCUGUUGAGAUGGUAAAUGGAGGAAGAUCUCAGUUCAGGCUUCCUAAUGUUUCUUACCCUUCUUAGUACAUGGCAUGCAGUGGGCAUCUAGGCAGCACUUAAAUACUUAAUUUAUUGGCUUUGGUCAUUUUGAAUAUUGCUAUUAACUUUGAAUUGAAUGUUGCAAUUAAAAAUGAAGGCCAAUAAGAUCCAUAAAAAUAUAUCUGCAUAUUCAGUUUAGAUCCUGAACUCAACAGUUUUCUUCUAAACUUUGUUUAUAUUCAUAUAGUGCCUAGUGCCUAUACAGCUCCCUGAGUUAGGUAGGUGAGGUAUUACUAUCUUUGACUUUUAUAUUACAUUUCACAUCAGACAUAUUUGUGAAAUAAAUUUUAUAAGUAGUCUGAAGCCAGAGAGGCUAAGUGACUAAUCCAGGGUCUCUUGGUUAGUAUUUGGCAUAGACAGAACUAAAAUUUUGGGCUUCUUUCUCAUUCUGGUUCUCAUCUAGUACCUUUUCAUUUGAGUGCUGGAAAAUGUAUCCCAGUCAACUGAAUUGUGGAGUCAUAUUGCCUCCCCCUUACCAACCAAGUGAUGGCAAUACUAGGAAGAGGGGCAAAAGAAAAGUCAGAAAUAUAAGUGAUAAAAUAAAUGGAAAUGUUUGAAAUGGAUCAUCGACCUCCUUUUACCUAUUUUAGCACCUCACAAAUAUCCCACUCUGACAGUGCUUUGUUAGUUGUUUAUAAAAUAUUCCUUAGGAGAUUGGUCUUGCAUAAGACAUGCUUUUACCGUGGUCCUUUUCCCGGUAAUAGUCACUGUCAGGGACAAAAAGUGCCUGAUUGUGUUCUGUUUGUCAUGUAGGUGGGAGGGAAAGAGGGAGAGAAAGCUGAGUUGAACUGAAGCAGAGCUUUUUACAGCUCUAUUGUUCUACUGUCAGAGAGCAAUUAUACUCCAACUUCCAUCCACCUCAGACAUCCCAACCUCCUCCUCCUGCCAAUGCUUCCCCACACACUUAACAUACAGCCACACAACCGAGUUCUCCGGGGAGAAUAGGGUGCUCUUUAAUACCUCCCUCUGCCCUUCAGUGAGUUCAGGGCUCUGCUUUUUAACUGCUAAUGUAUUUUAGUAAAGUUUGGCAAUUCAAGCUUUUCUAGAUGUUUCCUUUUCGGCUCUGGAAAAUUGGAAAAAAUAAUUUUUAACUAUAUAUAUUUAAAAUAUUCAGUGGCAUUAUGAUAUUGUCUGAAAGGCAUUCUGUGACUUGAUGCAAGAUCAGAAGUUUUUUUUUUUUUUUCUUGGAGAAGUAAUAAAAAGAAAAAAGAGAUCGAAGUUUUUAUCUCACAAGAUACCUCAUAUUCAGUUCUACAUACUGAAGACCUAAUCCAAGUUCUUACAUGUCUAUAGGGCAAAUGUUAACAUUUUUAAAAAGCUAUAUUUAUUUGGUAAUAUGAACAUAUGUUUGUAGAUUAGUUAGUCUACUCUUUCCAUACCUAAUAAAAGUUUAAAUUCCAGACAUGUGAAGAAAAUUUGCAGUGUGUCUCUUUGCCUUAGCUAACUGCAAAAAUUGAAAUCACAACCCUACCAUAGACCCAAACGUGUUUCCAAUUGAGAAAGUCUUCUACCUUCACAGCCUCUAAGUAAUAUAGUGGUUAUUUGUUUGAAGGAUGUGAGAGUAUUUGGUUGAGAAACUGUAGAAUGACAUAACAAAUUUUAGUUAAAAUGUUAGUUAUGGUUGACUCUGUACUUCUGAUAUCCUGGAUUUGUAUAUGAGAGCAAUGCUAGUAAGAUGCCUGCUUCUGAAUGCAAGUUUGGCUGGGAAGACAGCAGAGAAAUAGAGGAAAUAUUAUAAAGUAAUGGAGAAACCUCAAAACAGUACAGCAUGGAUGUUGACUUUGAAAACAACAGCUGCUGACGUGAACUUGGCAGAAAUUUGUGAGUAAUAGUGGGUGACUCAUUGCAAGCAGGGGAGUCUUGCAGCUUUUGAGGUGAACAGGCAAAGGGGACAACAGUGAUGGUGGCCACCCAAGGGCCAAGUGUUUAUGUCCUAAAUGUCAAAAUGUCUUUGAUCUCCUGUUAAACUUUGCAGCUGCAUCAUUCACAUGAAUAGUUGCAUUUUUUUUUUUUCUAAAAAUGCAACAUAUUUUCUAAAGCAUUUGUUUUUAAUCUGGGAUGAUUCUGAGGUGGGAGGUAAGUUGGUGGCAGGACAUAUUACAUGAUUUUUGUUAUUGUUAUUAUUUUUAAAAAUCACACAUUGCUGGCUUUCCCCUAUACUCCUGGAGAUGCCAUCAUGUAUGUAUAGCUAAUUCUAAAAAGGGCUUGUGUGACUCUUCAUAUGAGAAGGGGUGGUUAUUUGUGGCUUGAAAAAAUUGCUUGGGUGAUUCUGAUCUUUCUCUUUCGCUCUGCUGAAAAGCAUUGUUUCAAAGCCAAUAAUAAAUAUCUAAAGAAGUUUUACUUCAUUUCUGCGGUGUUCUCAGAAUUGUUACAGUAGGUUUAAACCUUUGCCUGGUUUGGAAAUCUUGACUAUUUGAGGGAGACAGCCCUGUUAGAGUCUUUAUUUUCUUCCUGUCUGAGAAUUCAGUUAUCAUCAAUAGUGUAUUCUUAGGCAGAGUCAGAAAGUCACCUCAUCUGAGAAGCCACCUGUGUCCACAGCUGGGAAUUUGCAGAAGUCAGUCACUGAAGGAAGGCUUUAGGAUAUUUAUGAUAAAACAUAGCAGUACGCUGGGAUCCAAACCCUGGGAAACCUCAACUAUUUUAGAGUAUGUGUUGAUAACAAUAGGCUAUUGGAUAAUUGCCAGACUACUUGAGGAGUCUAAGAGUUGGAUAAAGACUUAAAGGUGAAAGGAACUUGGAAAAAUAUCUUCUUCAGGUAUUUUAAGGGAGACAGUUCUCAGAAUGAGAAGCUUUUCUGGAAAAGGUUAGCACUUUGCUUCAGAAGAGAAGCAGGGCAAAGGUGUAAUUCUUCAUUUAAUGUGGUACAACCUAAAGGGUAAACCUUAACCUCUCACUUACACACAUACCCACACACUUGCAUUCUUUUGAUCAGAUUUGUAUUUUAGAAGGCUUCAUUUGUCGCCAAAUGUGGGUGAUACUUGAGGGACCCCUUGGAGGAGAAGGCUAAUUAGAUAUUACUGUAACCUUGCUGAGAAAUGACUGAAACUAAGAUGGUAGAAGUGAGAUUGGAGAAAAGAGAACCACAGAAAUGUGGCAACACACUAGGUGGCUGUCAGAGAUUUGAUUAGCAAACAAGACAGUAGAUGUCAGCUGUGUUAGAUGGGUGUAUAUCUCCCAAGAGCAUCGGGGCACAGAAUUCCCUUUUCAACUAGCUUAUCUAUAUGGGAUAUCAACUAUUGAAAUACAGAUAAAGUCCCCUAAUGGCAUCCUGUCCAUCAGAGAUUGAAAUUUGCUUCAGUAAAUGUGUCUAUCCUUUUCAAUAGGAAUUUGCCUCUUAAAUCAUCUCACAUUUAAGUAGGAUCACUCUCUUUAGUAACUUAAAUUGACUUUUUAAUAUCUACGUUUAUUCAUUCAUCCAUCCUUUUCUACCCAUAAGUCGAACAGGCAAAAUUUAUGGAGUUUAAAUGAAAUAUAAAUUAUUUUUCAUCUUUAUCUUUCACUAGGAGAAGUUUUAUUCCUGGGCCUGCAUUAAAAACCUAGGCAGCCCUAUGAUUUUUCUGGUCAUUCAAGUAAUAAAUGUUUUAUCAGAGCCUCUGAGUUGCACAACUCCAGGGGGCAACAUUUGCAUUGUAAUCUUUAUAAAUGGAGUCUCCUGGAGCCCAGCUUCAAUAGAUUGUAAUGGGAUGGUGCCCCUAUAGUUUUGCAACAUAGUCCUUGUGGCCUAAGUUCACUUUAAUAUAAAAAAAUCAGUCUUGAUUCAGUAUUUACUAUAUUUGUCUAAUAUAUUCAAAAUUAAGAGUUCUCCUCCCCAGCCCACUACCUAGCUGUAGGCAGGCCCCAAGACCUGGCUGUAGGCAGGCCAGCAGUCUUCAAGGAAGAAUAUGCCAUAAACCUUCAUGCUUAACCCCUCUAGGAUUGGAGGGUAGGGUAAAGAGCAGAGAGUUAGGGGCCCUGCAACCACCCAGGCUCUCAAUCUAACUCUCCAAGUGUGGCAGUGCCUCAGUUUCAGUUGGCCACUCUCUGUGCCCUUCAAUUUCUGUCUUGCAAGAGUAUAUCCCAAAGCUAUUUAUUUCUAGGUUGCCUCAGCCCUCACAGACUACACUCUUGGACAGAAAACCUUUUUAAAUAACCCUAGGCUGAUAUUUCUACCUCUUGUUCUUCAUCUAGUCCCUAGAAUUCACAUACUUUUGACCCACUAUUAAAACAGCAUACACUACCUUCCUGGUCUCCCACCUCUAUCCUGCUGUCGUAGGCUGCUUUAUCAGGCUCUGAUAAGGGUCAGGCAUUACCUUGUAUGCCCCCAGUCAGGGCUGUGACUAGAGUGGAACUAGUAAUACAUGUCUUUUGAGUGCAGAAUUUAAGAAAGUACCAGAAAACUCAGUAAUUAAGAUGAACAUGUCUUUUUUUUUUUUUUUUUUUUUUGAGAUGGAAUCUUACUCUGUUUCCCAGGCUGAAGUGCAGUGGCACAGUCUCGGCUCACUGCAACCACCACCUCCUGGGUUCAAGCGAUUCUCCUGCCUCAGCCUCCCAAGUAGCUAGGAUUACAGGCACACCAUGCCUAACUAAUUUUUGUAUUUGUAGUACAGACGGGAUUUUGCCAUGUUGGCCAGGCUGGUCUUGAACUUGCAACCUCAGGUGAUCUGCCCACUUCGGCCUCCCAAAGUGCUGGGAUCACAGGUGUGAGCCACUGUGCCCGGCCAAGAUAAACAUAUCUUAAGAAAAUUUUUAAAAAUAAUUAUUAAUAUAAAAAACCAUGAUGAACAAGAUACCAAAAAUUUAAAUACAAGAUUGUGCAGGAAAUACUUAUGGAGUUUAGUGACUAUCUUGAAAUGUAGUACAUACAACCAUCAUCACUGUUCCUUCACAGUACAUUUAUUUUUCCACUGAAAUAAUCCUCACAAAAUUCUCUCAAGUACCAUAAUCUUACAUAUCUAUGUUGUGGGUAUUAGAACUUAAUAUCAGUCACCAUCCUUGAAAUUUAGGCUCUCUGGUCCAACACUUCACUUUGAAAUGUAUUUUGUAUAUUGUUGUAUCAGUCAAAAUUUCCAAUUUAAAUUACAGUUAUCCAUCCAUCCAUCCAUCCAUCCAUCCAUCCAUCCACUUAUCCAUCAGUCCAUCUGUCCAUUUAUUUAUUGGGUUUAUGUAUGAAGGAGAAAAAAUAGAAUCUUCAAAUGCUAAUGAUUAAUCCAUUUUAACGACUAUAAAAUGGAAAUGUGUACAGUUACAAAGGCAUACUAAGUUGGUCUGCCUCAUCAAAUAGGCCUGGGCAAAAAUUGGUAGGUAAAAUUAAAGGGAAUCACAGUGCAUUUUACUCUCAUAAUCUCUGUUAGAAAUGUCCCACUAAACAUGUUAUGUUACCAACUCUUCUAUUAUGCCCUCAUCUCUACCUCUAUAGAUUUAGCCUUUGUGAGCUAUUCUGAAACAGCUUAUUCCACAGCUUCUGGUCAAUUUUUAGACAAUGUAAAUAGAGAUCCACCUUCAGAUAUAUACCGGUAAGUCUGGUCUUGUUCAGAGAACAAUUAAGGACCUUCAAGCUAGUGAAUUGUCAAUUCCUUUGUAAAAAGUGUUUUAUUAACCUUCAGCUACCUUGGAGGUAGUUGUUGACAGAGCAUUAUAUUAAAACUUGUAUUAAAGAAUACAGAUAUGCAUUGUAUUAGAGGCUUUAGGACUUUUUUCAAUCUACCCAUCUGACAAAGGGCUACUACCCAGAAUCUACAAAGAACUUAAACAAAUUUACAGGGAAAAAAUCAAACAACCCCAUCAAAAAGUGGGCAAAGGAUAUCAACAGACAACUUCUCAAAAGAAGACAUUUAUGCAGCCAAAAGACACAUGAAAAAAUGCUCGUCAUCACUGGCCAUCAGAGAAAUGCAAAUCAAAACCAUAAUGGGAUACCAUCUCACACCAGUUAGAAUGGCAAUCAUUAAAAAGUCAGGAAACAACAGAUGCUGGAGAGGAUGUGGAGAAAUAGGAAUGCUUUUACACUGUUGGUGAGAGUGUAAACCAGUUCAACCAUUGUGGAAGACAGUGGGGCAAUUCCUCAAGGAUCUAGAACUAGAAAUAUCAUUUGACCCAGCCAUCCCAUUACUGGGUAUAUACCCAAAGGAUUAUAAAUCAUGCUACUAUAAAGACACAUGCACAUGUAUGUUUAUUGCGGCACUAUUAACAAUAGCAAAGACUUGGAACCAACCCAAUGUCCAUCAGUGAUAGACUGGAUUAAGAAAAUGUGGCACAUACACACCAUGGAAUAUUAUGCAGCCAUAAAAAAGGAUGAGUUCAUGUCCUUUGCAGGGACAUGGAUGAAGCUGGAAACCAUCAUUCUGAGCAAACUAUCACAAGGACAGAAAACCAAACAUGGCAUCUUCUUACUCAUAGGUGGGAAUUGAACAAUGAGAACACUUGGACACAGGGCGGGAAAUAUCACACACUGGGGCCUGUCGUGGGGUGGGGGAAUGGGAGAGGCAUAGCACUGGGAGAAAUACCUAAUGUAAAUGACGAGUUAAUGGGUGCAGCAAACCAACGUGGCACAUGUAUACAUAUGUAACAAACCUGCACGUUGUGCACAUGUACCCUAGAGCUUAAAGUAUAAAAAAAAAAGAAAGAAAAGAGAAUACAUCCCAAUCAGCCAAGGGAGGGUUAGGGGUGAUUCCAGUCCACCUUGAAUUCAAAUUUGUUACUGUAUUUAAAUAAAUAAAUAAUGAAGUCCUUUGUACGUAGACAAGACAAUAUUUCUGAAAGAGGAGUUUUUUGUUUCCCAGCAUUUUCUUCACUCUACUAAGACACCUAAACCAAUAGGUAUUAAUCGGCUUAGGAAAGAUAUGUAAUAGCAGAAAAGAGAGGAAAAAAUGGAAACUCUUUUUAGCUUUGUCUUUUGAAAUUUAGCUCCUUAGAGUAACACAAAGGAUCAUGACAACAUUCUUGAACAGUAUGAGCAGACCUUUUCUAUCAGCCUCCCUUACCAACUACAAACAGAUUCUCCAUAUCUGGGGGGAAAAAAGUUAAAGGGGAAGUGAUAACGGUAUGAUACCAGUGUGUCUGGGAGAGUCUGCCUGUCAGGCUUCUGACCCCAAACUAAGCCAUCAUAUUCUCUGUGACCUACACGUAUACAUCCAGAUGGCCUGAAGCAACUGAAGACCCACGAAAGUGAAAAUAGCCUUAACUGAUGACAUUCCACCAUUGUGAUUUGUUCCUGCCCCACCCUAACUGAUAAGAUAUAUUCUCCCCUGCCCUUAAGAAGGUACUUUGUAAUAUUCUCCCCUGCCCUUAAAAAGAUACUUUGUAAUAUUCUCCCCACCCUUGAGAAUGUACUUUGUAUACCUAUCCCAAAUCUGUAAGAACUAAUGUUAAUCCCACCAUCCUUUGCUGACUCUCUUUUCGGACUCAGCCCGCCUGUACCCAGGUGAAAUAAACAGCCUUGUUGCUCACACAAA